UAUUUAUUUUUUAUAACUGCAUUAUAUGUUGAUCCUAUUGUAGCUAAUUGCAGUGUUCAACAGUGUUAACAUGAAUAAUAUAUUGCAAAACAUUGCAUCUUAUUAAUCUAGGCGAAAAAUAGUAUUCAACUGUUAGGAUUUGAUGAAAGUAUAUUUAUAAUUUGAUGAUAAUUAUAAUUUGACAUUUUUAAAACAAUUGUAGGAAGACGUCAUAUAUACAUUGUACAAAAUUGUUUUUUCCCUUGUUCAACGAAUUCCUUUGAAGGACAACCAAAUAAGAAGAAAAUAAUGCGGUUUAAUCCACGAAAUGUAAUAAUACUGCUGUCUGCAGUAUUUACUGCCGUGGACUUUCCAGAAAGUCCUAACAAUAGAAGAAGUUAUGCAGAGAAAAAUGAAAAAGAUGAUAAAAGAAAUGUACGAAGACUACUAUGAAAUUGAACAAGAAGAAUCGUUGGAUUUUUUAAACUCAUAUGAUAUACCAGAAGCACAAGAAAUAGAACUUGUAGAUGAA
Acromyrmex echinatior (Panamanian leafcutter ant) is the source of this 511-nucleotide long non-coding RNA. The record is from RefSeq and is a predicted model, not a curated record. Lineage: Eukaryota; Metazoa; Arthropoda; Insecta; Hymenoptera; Formicidae.